AAAAACUUGAAUUAUACAUCAAUCAUGUCAAUUGGUCUAUACCAAUAUAUAUACCUCAAUUAGUGGAUUAAACGUCAAUUGAGGUAUAAUCCACCAAUUGGUGGUUAUUCCUGACCUAUUUACUUUUAAACUACAUGUAUACAGGAAUGUUUAGGCCAAAAUUAAAAAUAUGUUUGUUUCCCCUCCCCUCACCCGGGAAAAAAAUAAGCC
This 210-nucleotide long non-coding RNA is filed under the name Mytilus galloprovincialis (Mediterranean mussel). The record is from RNAcentral. Lineage: Eukaryota; Metazoa; Mollusca; Bivalvia; Mytilida; Mytilidae.